This 798-nucleotide ribosomal RNA is filed under the name uncultured Gammaproteobacteria bacterium. RNAcentral's name for it is "bacterial SSU rRNA". It matches the Rfam family "Bacterial small subunit ribosomal RNA", at positions 71 to 864 of the family's 1533-position model. The record is from RNAcentral. Lineage: Bacteria; Pseudomonadati; Pseudomonadota; Gammaproteobacteria.
AGCGCGGGAGCAAUCCUGGCGGCGAGCGGCGGACGGGUGAGUAACGCUUGGGAAUCUGCCUGUUAGUGGGGGACAACCCGGGGAAACUCGGGCUAAUACCGCAUACGCACUACGGUGGAAAGCCGGGGACCGCAAGGCCUGGCGCUAACAGAUGAGCCCAAGUCGGAUUAGCUAGUUGGUAGGGUAACGGCCUACCAAGGCGACGAUCCGUAACUGGUCUGAGAGGACGACCAGUCACACCGGAACUGAGACACGGUCCGGACUCCUACGGGAGGCAGCAGUGGGGAAUAUUGGACAAUGGGGGAAACCCUGAUCCAGCGACGCCGCGUGGGUGAAGAAGGCCUGCGGGUUGUAAAGCCCUUUCAGUGGGGAAGAAAAGCCUCGAGUUAACACCUCGGGGUCUUGACGUAACCCAUAGAAGAAGCACCGGCUAACUCUGUGCCAGCAGCCGCGGUAAUACAGAGGGUGCGAGCGUUAAUCGGAAUUACUGGGCGUAAAGCGCGCGUAGGCGGCUUUGCAAGUCGGGUGUGAAAUCCCCAGGCUUAACCUGGGAACUGCAUUCGAGACUGCAUUGCUAGAGUAUGGGAGAGGGAAGUGGAAUUUCAGGUGUAGCGGUGAAAUGCGUAGAUAUCUGAAGGAACAUCAGUGGCGAAAGCGACUUCCUGGACCAAUACUGACGCUCAUGUGCGAAAGCGUGGGGAGCAAACAGGAUUAGAUACCCUGGUAGUCCACGCCAUAAACGAUGAGAACUGGAUGUCGGGAGGGUCUGCCUCUCGGUGUCGUAGCUAACGCGUUAAG